This 445-nucleotide ribosomal RNA is filed under the name uncultured bacterium. RNAcentral describes it as "partial 16S ribosomal RNA". It matches the Rfam family "Bacterial small subunit ribosomal RNA", at positions 354 to 796 of the family's 1533-position model. The record is from RNAcentral.
GUGAGGAAUAUUGGUCAAUGGGCGAGAGCCUGAACCAGCCAAGUCGCGUGAAGGAAGAAGGAUCUAUGGUUCGUAAACUUCUUUUGCAGGGGAAUAAAGUGCAGGACGUGUCCUGUUUUGUAUGUACCCUGAGAAUAAGGAUCGACUAACUCCGUGCCAGCAGCCGCGGUAAUACGGAGGAUCCGAGCGUUAUCCGGAUUUAUUGGGUUUAAAGGGUGCGUAGGUGGUUUGAUAAGUCAGCGGUGAAAGUUUGCAGCUUAACUGUAAAAAUGCCGUUGAAACUGUCGGACUUGAGUGUAAAUGAGGUAGGCGGAAUGCGUGGUGUAGCGGUGAAAUGCAUAGAUAUCACGCAGAACUCCGAUUGCGAAGGCAGCUUACUAAGCUACAACUGACACUGAAGCACGAAAGCGUGGGGAUCAAACAGGAUUAGAAACCCGUGUAGUCC